This 329-nucleotide unclassified non-coding RNA is filed under the name soil metagenome. RNAcentral's name for it is "partial contains 5.8S ribosomal RNA, internal transcribed spacer 2, and large subunit ribosomal RNA". The stretch from base 1 to 120 matches the Rfam family "5.8S ribosomal RNA", at positions 35 to 154 of the family's 154-position model. The record is from RNAcentral.
GAUGAAGAACGUAGCGAAAUGCGAUAAGUAGUGUGAAUUGCAGAAUUCAGUGAAUCAUCGAAUCUUUGAACGCACAUUGCGCCCCUUGGUAUCCCGAGGGGAAUGCCUGUUCGAGCGUCAUUUCACCACUCAAGCCUGGCUUGGUGUUGGGCGACGUCCUCUUUGGGGACGCGCCUCGAAACGCUCGGCGGCGUGGCACCGGCUUUAAGCGUAGCAGAAUCUUUCGCUUUGGAAGUCGGGGCCCCGUCUGCCGGAAGACCUGCUCGCAAGGUUGACCUCGGAUCAGGCAGGGAUACCCGCUGAACUUAAGCAUAUCAAUAAGCGGAGGA